AACGAACGCUGGCGGCGUGCCUAACACAUGCAAGUCGAGCGCGAAAAUCGUCUUCGGACGGUGAGUAGAGCGGCGCACGGGUGAGUAACACGUGGGUAAUCUGCCCUAAAGACCGGGAUAACUCAGGGAAACUUGAGCUAAUACUGGAUACGUCCACAGGAUGCAUUCUUGUGGAGAAAGUAGGGGACCUCUUCGGAGACCUUACACUUUUGGAUGAGCCUGCGUCCCAUCAGCUAGUUGGUAGGGUAACGGCCUACCAAGGCUAAGACGGGUAGCUGGUCUGAGAGGAUGACCAGCCACACUGGAACUGAGAUACGGUCCAGACUCCUACGGGAGGCAGCAGUGGGGAAUAUUGCGCAAUGGACGAAAGUCUGACGCAGCAACGCCGUGUGAGUGAUGAAGGGCUUCGGCUCGUAAAGCUCUGUCGGCAGGAACGAUGGUGUCGGCGGCUAAUACCCGACCGGCCUUGACGGUACCUGCAAAGGAAGCACCGGCUAACUCUGUGCCAGCCGCCGCAGUAA
RNAcentral lists this ribosomal RNA (521 nucleotides) under uncultured bacterium. RNAcentral describes it as "partial 16S ribosomal RNA". It matches the Rfam family "Bacterial small subunit ribosomal RNA", at positions 29 to 523 of the family's 1533-position model. The record is from RNAcentral.